RNAcentral lists this ribosomal RNA (253 nucleotides) under uncultured bacterium. RNAcentral's name for it is "partial 16S ribosomal RNA". It matches the Rfam family "Bacterial small subunit ribosomal RNA", at positions 524 to 776 of the family's 1533-position model. The record is from RNAcentral.
UACGUAGGGGGCAAGCGUUGUCCGGAAUCAUUGGGCGUAAAGCGCGUGUAGGCGGCUCGGUAAGUCCGCUCUGAAAGUCCGGGGCUCAACCCCGGGAGGCGGGUGGAUACUGUCGAGCUAGAGUCCGGAAGAGGCGAGUGGAAUUCCUGGUGUAGCGGUGAAAUGCGCAGAUAUCAGGAAGAACACCCGUGGCUAAGGCGGCUCUCUAGUACGGUACUGACGCUGAGACGCGAAAGCGUGGGGAGCAAACAGG